CGGGAUAUAGCGCAGUUUGGUAGCGCGCCUGCUUUGGGAGCAGGAUGCCGCAGGUUCAAAUCCUGCUAUCCCGA
This 74-nucleotide transfer RNA is filed under the name Bangia atropurpurea. RNAcentral describes it as "tRNA-Pro". It matches the Rfam family "tRNA". Rfam says of the family: Transfer RNA (tRNA) molecules are approximately 80 nucleotides in length. Lineage: Eukaryota; Rhodophyta; Bangiophyceae; Bangiales; Bangiaceae. RNAcentral also lists the same sequence under 3 other names. The record is from RNAcentral.